CUACGGGCGGCAGCAGUCGAGAAUCUUCCGCAAUGGACGAAAGUCUGACGGAGCGACGCCGCGUGCGGGAUGAAGGCCUUCGGGUUGUAAACCGCUGUCAGUGGGGAGGAAAUGCAUCAGGGUUCUCCCUGGUGUUUGACCGAUCCGCAGAGGAAGCGCAGGCUAAGUUCGUGCCAGCAGCCGCGGUAACACGAACUGCGCGAACGUUAUUCGGAAUCACUGGGCUUAAAGAGUUCGUAGGCGGCCUUUCAAGUCGGGUGUGAAAUCCCUCGGCUCAACCGAGGAAUUGCGCCUGAUACUGUUGGGCUUGAGGGGGAUAGGGGUGAGCGGAACUGAUGGUGGAGCGGUGAAAUGCGUUGAUAUCAUCAGGAACACCGGUGGCGAAGGCGGCUCACUGGAUCUCUUCUGACGCUGAGGAACGAAAGCUAGGGGAGCGAACGGGAUUAGAUACCCCGGUAGUC
This 461-nucleotide ribosomal RNA is filed under the name uncultured bacterium. RNAcentral's name for it is "partial 16S ribosomal RNA". It matches the Rfam family "Bacterial small subunit ribosomal RNA", at positions 339 to 795 of the family's 1533-position model. The record is from RNAcentral.